CGAGGAUGUACUCUUUCCCGUGCC
This 24-nucleotide non-coding RNA is filed under the name Rattus norvegicus (Norway rat). Lineage: Eukaryota; Metazoa; Chordata; Mammalia; Rodentia; Muridae. The record is from RNAcentral.